RNAcentral lists this unclassified non-coding RNA (21 nucleotides) under Chlamydomonas reinhardtii. RNAcentral describes it as "small RNA Cre_3036". Lineage: Eukaryota; Viridiplantae; Chlorophyta; Chlorophyceae; Chlamydomonadales; Chlamydomonadaceae. The record is from RNAcentral.
UGCAUGAGCCGCUUUCGCGCU